Molecule: unclassified non-coding RNA, 1300 nt
Filed under: Bombus terrestris (buff-tailed bumblebee)
Lineage: Eukaryota; Metazoa; Arthropoda; Insecta; Hymenoptera; Apidae
Description: misc RNA ENSBTSG00005035882.1
Source: RNAcentral
AGCUCGCUCCCUCUUACAGUUCUACGUCCCUCGAGAUGGAUUCGAUGCUAAUACUGGCCGACUAAUUGCACGCUACUAAGAAUCGAUCUGGAACACGACUUGACAGCGCGCAACGAGUUAGUGACGUCUCCCGUCUGACGAUUCAUCCUACAAAAGGGGAAAUUCUUGAUCUUUCGCGUGGCAUGACAUUGAUAUUAGUCUCGUUAGUUUGCUUUUCUCGCGAAACGAGCUUACCGGGCACUUACAAAGUUAAGUUCGAUCGCGUUGCCGGAGGAUCGCGAACCGAAUGUAGAAGAGGAGACAGAUAUCUCUCUCUAUAUCGAGAUACAUGGAAUCGCAUAUAUGCACGUGUAUCGUGAAAUAUGAAUCUGACGAAGUGGAGCAAUUGCAUAUGGCUCAAUCCACCGGCGACACGUAAGUAAACUGUCAGCUCUCGUGAAGUACAAUAAAUCUAAGAAAUGUCGGUAACCUGAAUUUUCGCUAUAAUGCGCCUCGAGCUUGCAGAUGCAAAAGGGAAUAGAGUAGGUGCAUUUUAUCGUAUCGGCAACCUCGCUCGUGUAUCACUCGCAUAAAAGUUCGUCGAAUUACACCUUACAUCGGUAUACGCUGUGUACACCGCUGCUUUGAAGCAUACCAAUAUAUGUAUUUGUAUUAUGCGCUUAAAACAUACGUCACGAAUCACAUUUUGUCCUGCGCAUGAAUCUUUGGAAUUGAGAAUUCAGUAUGUAUUCCGUCUUUCACUUCGCUACGAAUUUCGACGAUUCUAUUAAUAAUUGAAAGCACUAUAGUAAGCUAGGGGCAACAACGUUGUUAUUAAUCCUCCGCGUGGGAAAUCGUCUUCGAGCAUUAAUCUUACACUGGUGGUGCGCGCCGCCGACGGAAACGAGACGCGUUCGGCACUAACAAGAAAUUGCACAAUCACAUCGUGCAUCUUCAACGGCGUACUUUUGGUCCGCGCCGGUUUUUUUAUCUCAUAAAUAGCCCGAUUAGACAGACAACACGCAGGCAAACACAUGGCCAGACACAAGACCACCAGAAAGACUCGUCCUGGGCGGCUUAUACACUUGGGAACAUCUGGCUUUUGCAGUGACGAUAGCCUCGUUAGUCACACCACUCUCGUCCUCUUGUAAUCUUAUUACCGCCUUGUGUAAGAUGCCUCGUUCAGGCGCCAUUGCUUUCUAAUUUCUACUCGAUUCUAAUUUCUACUUCCUUUGCUUUGCUAUACCAACGCACCAGACUUACAAAUUUCUUGUUCGGACCCUGGCGUCGCGGUCUACGUGUUGCGUCUGAUGCUCCUCUC